This is a long non-coding RNA of Drosophila hydei, 961 nucleotides long. RefSeq lists it as uncharacterized. Lineage: Eukaryota; Metazoa; Arthropoda; Insecta; Diptera; Drosophilidae. The record is from RefSeq and is a predicted model, not a curated record. The transcript has 2 exons.
AGGAAAUGCACCACACUAUGAUUUACUUCUGGCUCAAAAUGACUGUUUCAAAGCUGACGGAAAGGUCAUUUAUUGAUAAUUUUGAUAAGACACCGAACAAUUUAUGGCGAUAAGAACAGCACAUUAAGUACAUUAUAUAUGUGAAUAAUUAUACGAAUGCAUACGUCAGUAUUUGUGCGUGUGUGUUUAUAAAAUACUUAAAAAUUGUUGAUUAAGCUAUUUGUGUUGACAGUUUGUGUCGAGUUUCCGAGGGCUCUCCGCUUGCUGUCAGUGUCGAAUAUUGUUUAUGUGUCGGUCGGCAUGCUAAUGGAACGUAUUAUAUGCUUGUUUAUUUCUUUUUUAUUUUUUUUACUUGUAUGCAUAUGUCUGAUAUGGGAAAUGUGAGACUAAUCAACAUUAAAUAAACCGAGAUAUGUCUGUGCUAAAGUAUUUGAAAUGGAAAAUACCAAAGAAAGCUCCAAAUUGCACUUUCCAAAUUGAACAGCGUUUCAAAGGGUGGCAGAGUGGGUGCGAGGGACAGGAAGAGGGGAACAGAGGCAGAGAGUGAAACCGACAUUAAAUUAAGUGCCAUAAUUCAACUGGAGAGGCUGUUCGCAGAUACAAAGUAGGGUGCAAUGGUCAGACAGCGGCUGCAACAAUAGCAAAAAAUUUUAUUAAAUCUACACGAAUAAAGCGGAGCGAAGCAUAAGCCAAACACACGCGCGCACACAGCUGCAUUGGAUGUGGGGCCAUUUAUUUGCGCUAAUAUCGUUCACCCCACUUUAAAUGUCAGUGUACAAGCAACAACAACUACUACAACAGCUGCCCCGGCCAAUUAGGCCUGCGCGAUAGAGCGAGCGAGAGAGAAAGAGAGAGAGCGCUCUUGAUGAAUGCGGUUGAAAUAAUGAACGUGCGCAGGCGCAGCAGCCAGCGCAUAGGCCGAGAUAGUGCUAUACAAAUGAAAACAUAAGCAAAACAACAA